RNAcentral lists this long non-coding RNA (907 nucleotides) under Populus tremula. Its description in RNAcentral is "long non-coding RNA (PTRE_LNC002305)". The record is from RNAcentral. Lineage: Eukaryota; Viridiplantae; Streptophyta; Magnoliopsida; Malpighiales; Salicaceae.
CUCAUGAUUUAUUUAUUUAUUGCGUUGUACGUUAUUAAAUUUGGCACAGUGGAUCAAACAAAAAAUCUGCAACAUCAAUGAGAAAUUAAGCUAAUUAAAGAUACCCGGAUGAUUACAUGCAAGCAUCCAAGAUUGUUCUUCAAAGGUAGAGUUAAUUUAACCUGUCCACAAAAACCAGAUUUCAUGAAUUGCAUGCAGCAAAUACAUCCAACUGAGGAGCCAAAAAAUGAUGGGAAAUUAUUGAAGUACCUUACUUGUUUGAGCAAAAGCAUAAAGUGCAGAGCUACGAAGAUAUAUGAAACCCCCAAACACAGCAGGAUUGGAAUCCUAAGAAGCACAUAGCCCUACAAAGCGCACAAACCCUUUCUUAUACGGGGGCGAUAUGAUAGAUGAUUAUGUGAAAAAAAGAGAAGAAAAACAACCCCAACACCCACUCAACAACGCAAACAAAAAGGCAAAUGAUGAUACCUGAAAAGACAACAAUUGAAAGAGUUCCAUUACCAAAAAAAAAUAAAAAAAUGAUGAACAAGGCAAAUUAACUCAUCUAGUUAUAGGUCAUUAAUCGUGAAUGAUCGAAAGCCAGAGAGGAAGAGAGAUUGAUAGGACGCAGGAUUGGCUAGAAAAUUUAUCAAAUAUGGUCGAAGACAGAUCCAAAUGAAUACGAAAUUAAUAGCAAAGCAAAAGAAACAACCCUUAAAAAUUGAAGAGGCAAUUAAGAAAAAAUACAAUGGACAAUGCAUCAGAUGCUUAAUCGUGCAUGCGUGUGGUAGUAACCUCUUAUGCAAGUCUUCCACCCACCUGAAUCUGACUCCGUUGAAAAGCUUGAGAUCACGCUACUUGAUAGGGUUUCUUAAAUGAUUGUGUGCAAAUUUUGCUCUGGUGUGGUGGGUUUAAUGCUUGUAUUCUU